ACGUCAUGUUUUUGUUAACAUAUAAUAAAGAAAAAAGCUUAAUUUUAGAAAGAAAAAGGUCAUAUAAUAACGUCAGCAAAUUCGUGCUAAUUUAACCCUCAAAAUCACAAUAAUUAUUUUAUUUUCGGGCAGCUUUGAACUCAGCGGGCAAUUAAAACGAGUAAUUGAAGGUGUGUUAGCAGGUGUGCGGGCGGGAGCCUAGCUAAAACUCACAGGCUAGCAGGGUGCUAGUAGCCACAGUCCAGGGCACGGUUUUAAGGAUGAAUUCGCUAACAACGGAGCUAGCUAAUGUUUUUUUGGAGGACUCUGAAAAUGAUGUGACAUUUUACGGCUUUUCCGACACUGAACUGAAAGAUGAGAAUUGCAGUUUUGGAGAUGAAGAUGAAGCUCAGCCUGACAUUUUCCCCAAGGAGGAGGAAACUACAUCUAAAGCAUCUGCUACUUCUACAGUUAAGCCCUUCAGGCUGAGGGUGGCUCUGCGCUCAGCUCC
Molecule: non-coding RNA, 490 nt
Organism: Neolamprologus brichardi
Lineage: Eukaryota; Metazoa; Chordata; Actinopteri; Cichliformes; Cichlidae
Source: RefSeq, a predicted model, not a curated record